AAACAUCCACUGGGUAGUAAUAAAAAAUAAAACCUUAAAACUUGGCGGUUAUAAUUUCUUAAAGAAACUCGUUUUUUAAUCGAUAAAACUCGAUAAAUUUAACUUAUUAUUUCAUAAUUUAUAUACCGCCGUUAAAUAAAUGAAAUAAACUAAAAUAAAUUUCUAAAUUAAAACAAUACAAAAAUCAGGUCAAGGUGUAAUAUAUAUAUAAGUAAAAAUAAGUUACAUAUAAAUACAAUUUAAGAAAUUACUACAAAAAUAAAAAAGAAAAAGAAUUUAUCAUUAAUUUAAAAUUAAAAUUUUUAAAAGAAAAACAAAAUUAUAAUGC
RNAcentral lists this ribosomal RNA (328 nucleotides) under Carapoia sp. Br15-79. RNAcentral's name for it is "partial 12S ribosomal RNA". The record is from RNAcentral. Lineage: Eukaryota; Metazoa; Arthropoda; Arachnida; Araneae; Pholcidae.